Molecule: ribosomal RNA, 497 nt
Filed under: uncultured bacterium
Lineage: Bacteria
Description: partial 16S ribosomal RNA
Rfam family: Bacterial small subunit ribosomal RNA
Source: RNAcentral
GAUGAACGCUGGCGGCGUGCCUAAUACAUGCAAGUCGAGCGAACGGACGAGAAGCUUGCUUCUCUGAUGUUGGCGGCGGACGGGUGAGUAACACGUGGAUAACCUACCUAUAAGACUGGGAUAACUUCGGGAAACCGGAGCUAAUACCGGAUAAUAUUUUGAACCGCAUGGUUCAAAAGUGAAAGACGGUCUUGCUGUCACUUAUAGAUGGAUCCGCGCUGCAUUAGCUAGUUGGUAAGGUAACGGCUUACCAAGGCAACGAUGCAUUGCCGACCUGAGAGGGUGAUCGGCCACACUGGAACUGAGACACGGUCCAGACUCCUACGGGAGGCAGCAGUAGGGAAUCUUCCGCAAUGGGCGAAAGCCUGACGGAGCAACGCCGCGUGAGUGAUGAAGGUCUUCGGAUCGUAAAACUCUGUUAUUAGGGAAGAACAUAUGUGUAAGUAACUGUGCACAUCUUGACGGUACCUAAUCAGAAAGCCACGGCUAACUACGUG